CAAUAGCUAAAUAAGGGCGUAUGGGGAAUGCCUAGGCUCUCAGAGGCGAUGAAGGACGUGAUAAGCUGCGAAAAGCUGCGGGGAUUGGCACAUACAAAUUGAUCCGCAGAUAUCCGAAUGGGGCAACCCACUAUACUGAAGGUAUAGUAUCCGCAAGGAGGCAAACCC
RNAcentral lists this ribosomal RNA (168 nucleotides) under uncultured Flavobacteriaceae bacterium. RNAcentral's name for it is "partial 23S ribosomal RNA". It matches the Rfam family "Bacterial large subunit ribosomal RNA", at positions 1 to 186 of the family's 2925-position model. The record is from RNAcentral. Lineage: Bacteria; Pseudomonadati; Bacteroidota; Flavobacteriia; Flavobacteriales; Flavobacteriaceae.